RNAcentral lists this transfer RNA (68 nucleotides) under Marmota monax (woodchuck). RNAcentral describes it as "tRNA.Ala". The record is from RNAcentral. Lineage: Eukaryota; Metazoa; Chordata; Mammalia; Rodentia; Sciuridae.
GGAUGUGGCUCAAGUGGUAGCGCGUUCGCCUAGCAAGCGUGAGGCACUGGGUUCGAUUUUCAGCACCA